Long non-coding RNA from Solanum lycopersicum (tomato), 1945 nucleotides. RefSeq lists it as uncharacterized. Lineage: Eukaryota; Viridiplantae; Streptophyta; Magnoliopsida; Solanales; Solanaceae. The record is from RefSeq and is a predicted model, not a curated record.
UGUAAGUCAAAGUUUUCAUAGUUUGACUCUAAAAAUAAAUACUAGACAAACAAUAUCGGACGAAGAGAGUAGUUAGUACUUUCAACGCUAAAUGAGAAUGUGGUGCUACUUACGGUGUAGAAAAUAGAUAAGGAAAAUACUAUCUUUAGAGAAUACUCAAGUUUUAUAUAGGCCACUUAAGACCACUUGAGAUUAUUACAAUCAUCAACUAUAUCACUAUUUAUACGACUCAAAAUAAAAAAAAUAAAAAGUAUUGCACAAUUAACUAUAUACAUGUAUCAAAAAUUACUAAAUGCAUGUAUUACAAAAUUCUAAAGAAUUUCUUGAGAAAUUAAGAGACAAUAUUGAAAUACUAAACAUCAAGGUGUGAAGUGAAUGCAUUAAUUCCAACACUCCCCCUUAAUAUAUUUUUUCUUGAAAAUUUCAAUGCCUUCUCGAAGAUGGCAAAACUUUUCGCUUGGAAGUGUUGUGGUGAAGAUGUCAGUACAUGAGUAUAACAAAUACAUCCAAAUAAUUUAAAAUGAUUUACAUAAGGUUUUAUUCCAACCCAAGCUUCAAUUGGUGCCUUGUCCUUUAGUGCCUUUGUUGGGCAUAUGUUAAAAAUGUACGCUGAUGUAUGCACUGCUUCUGCCCAAAAAUAUUUUGACAACCCUUUCUCAUUUAUCGUAGUUCGGGCCAUUUUAACAGUUGUUCUGAAUGCCUUCAUUUUUGCAAUAUUCUUCAAAUUCUCGACUUGUGUAUUCACCUCCUCUAUCACUGCAAAUGGUUUUGUGUUGCAACAUUUUUGCUUCUCAACAAGUGUUUUAAAUUUCUUGAAUGUAGCAAAUGCUUCUGACUUUUCUUUUAAGAAAUAAACCCAAGUCAUUCUUGAAAAAUUAUCAAUAAAGAUUAGAAAAUACCUUGACUUUCAAGAGAUGGAAUCUUCUUUGGUUCGCAAAUGUCGGUAUGGAUUAGUUUCAAAAGUACAUUUGCUCUCUAAGACACCCUUUUGAAAAAGUCUUCUCAUGUUGCUUUCCUAUUAUAUAACUUUCACGUUGAUCCACCUUAGUAUGUAUCACAGGAAGGCAUUGCACAAUAUAGCUUUUUGCUUAAGAAAUUUCAAACCAAAAAAAUUCAAGUGACAAAUUUUUUGUGUCAAAGCCAUGAAUCAUCUACAAUUUCAUUUUUUUAAUGCAUUGUAAUGAAAUUGCAAAGGAAAAUUUCUUUUUAUCAUCUUUACUUCAACAAUGACUUGAUUUGGCUUAAUUUUAUCAUAAAUCCUGCAAUAAUUAUCUCUAAGCAUAAGAGAAUAACCAUUUUCCAUGAGUUAACCAACAUUAAGCAAUUUUUCUUGCAUGUCAGGAAUAUAAAGAACAUCAUGAAUUUGCUUAGUGUUUUUUUCAUGUUGAUCGAAAUGAUACAUUUACCUUUUGCAUCAACUAAGCUUCCAUUUUCCAUUGCCACUUAAGUAGUGAUGUUAUUAUUAAUUGAGAGGAAAGUUUUUUCAUCUCCAGUCAUGUGAAUACUACAAUCACUAUCAAUAUGGCAUUCAUAGCUUUUUGUUGAAACAUGAGAUUUAGAAGCAAAGAAAAGGUUUUCUUCCCUUUCUUCCUCCUGUUUUUCACAAAAAUUCGCUUGCUCCCGUCAAGGGCGGAGCCACCUUGGUACAAAGGGGUUCAUCCGGACCCCUUCGAUGAAAAAUUAUACUAUUUAUACAUGAUUAAAAUAAUACUUUAUGAAUGUAUAGUAGAUGUCGAACCCCCUUCAACUACUCCGUAUAUCUAUUUCUACGAAUUUUGAACCCCCUUAUUGAAAAUUCUGGCUCCGCCACUGACUCCCGUUUCUUGUGGUAGCAAUCCUUUUCAAUGUGGGCAAAUUUUUACAAAAGUUAUAUUUGGACUUGCAUUUGCGUCAACAUUUUUCUGCCAGUAUGAUUAGUUAUUUUGCAAACUUUAUAAAAAAAAAA